UACCAGUAAAGUGCUUUAUUAAUACUUUUACAAUUAAAAGCUACAAACCCACAAACUAUUGCCUUAAAACCCUUUUACUCUUUAAAAUUACUUAAAUGUCUAAAAAUAAGACACUCAACAAUAACAAUCCUGAAAUAGUUUAGCGACUCAGACUGGAAGAAUCAGAUGGUAAGGUUACUGGAAAAUUGAGGCGCCAUUUCUGAUAUGUAGUGAUUUUGCAAAGGGCACUACCAUGUGGACAAAUGAGGUAUGAAACGGAAGCUAUCAUAACGAUUUUGUGUCCACAUGAUGGCGCCAAAUUCCUACUAAUCUCAAUUUGAUAAUGUAGCAGAGGUAUUAAAAGUGUACAGAUGACACUAAUUUCCUACAUUCAAGUGAACAUCAAACCAUCUAAAUUCCCAAAGGACAAUGAUGCAUGUACCAGUUGGAAACAAUUUUGGAUCAGCUCCAACUGGUCUACAGUUCAGUGACAAAUCUGAAAAUGUCCAAUAUAUUAUAACCUAUGCAAAUGCCACAGUUACCACAGAUUUAGUAUGGAGUUGAAUAAUAAAGCAAUGGCCAUAAAAUAUUGGAGUCAAGAAAAUGACAUAUAUUUAUGACUAAAUUUAUCUAUACUUACUUUGGCCUAUCAAAGAUUCUUCAGAACCAAAUCUGGAAUGCAAACUUCUCACCUGCUAAACAGCUGUGUGGAUAAAUUUAGUACAAAAUAUCACCUAACUCUGAAAUAGUGUCAAGUCUAAAACACCCAGAUAACAUGUGCUAUAUGUUGGAGAGGGAAGUGUUAUAAAAUUAUUUGCAAAUGAUAAUGAUAAUAAAUAUGUUCAUGAAAUGCUCAACAUAAAGAACCAACAGCAUACAUAUCUCUAAUUUAAUGUAAUUCUUUUUUACUACCACAUGUGCAUCAUAUAGAAGAAGUUCCUGGGCUAGGAAUCAAAUCAGAGCUGCAGCUACUGGCCUAUACUGCAGUACUGCAGACACAGCAAUGCCAGAUCUGAGCUGUGUCUGUGACCUACACCACAGCUCUUGCCAACACUGGAUCCUUAAUCCACUGAGCAAGGCCAGGGAAUGAAUCUGCAUCCUCAUGGAUACCUAGUCAGGUUCUUAACCUGCUGAGCCACAAUGGGAACUCAUCUAAUGUAAAUGUUUCUCCACCAAAUGUCAUUACUGCUGACCUGCUGGUUUCCAAUGCUACAAGCAGUGCAGUACUAAGUGGAGUUUUCUUUAAAAAAUCAUCUAAUAGCUUAUAAAGGACAGCAUUGUGAGCACAAAUGAAAUAUAUAGAAGAUCCAUCGUAAUGUUAGAAAUUUGCCAACAGUGAUGGCAAACUCCUAUCUGAAGUUUUCCUUCUUUGUUCACUUCCAGGGACACGUGAACCAAUGUUAUUAGGCAAUCCUAAUACAUUGUAGUACUGGGGCGCAUGAUGGGAGGCACUUCACAGUAUGCUGAGAGGGCCUAGAAAAAAAGGGUUUUUGUUUGGAUGGGAUCUAGGACAGACUAUAAGGAGACCUACAUUUCUAGUUCACAUGCUCUAGGAUAAUGUAUGGAAGGAACACCAAAGUGAAAUAACUUUAACUUCCAAAGAUGAGAACUCUUCCGUGCCACAGCAUGGGAGUCCUUCAAAUCAUUGAAACAGCCAAGCAGAGAAGUAUAUUCAUGAAUCCCACCCAUACUCCAAGGACAGGGUAAAAAGUAUUUAUUCCCCUUCCCCCUCUGGUGAGAAGCUUGCCCAGUUUGUAGUUUCCACAUGUAUAAAACCAGAUGCUUUAGGAGUUCCCAUCAUGGCUCAGCAGUUAUCAAACCCAACUAGCAUCCAUGAAGAUAUGGGUUCAACCCCUGGCCUUGCUCAUGGGUUAAGGAUCUGGCAUUGCUGUGAGCUGUGGUGUAGGUCACAGACAUGGCUCAGAUCCCACAUUGCUGUGUCUGUGGCAUAGGCCAGCAGCUGCAGCUUCAAUUCUACCCCUAGCCUGGGAACUUCCAUAUAC
RNAcentral lists this long non-coding RNA (1982 nucleotides) under Sus scrofa (pig). RNAcentral describes it as "lncRNA (multiple genes)". Lineage: Eukaryota; Metazoa; Chordata; Mammalia; Artiodactyla; Suidae. The record is from RNAcentral.